RNAcentral lists this ribosomal RNA (497 nucleotides) under uncultured bacterium. Its description in RNAcentral is "partial 16S ribosomal RNA". It matches the Rfam family "Bacterial small subunit ribosomal RNA", at positions 28 to 507 of the family's 1533-position model. The record is from RNAcentral.
GAUGAACGCUGGCGGCGUGCCUAAUACAUGCAAGUCGAGCGAACGGACGAGAAGCUUGCUUCUCUGAUGUUAGCGGCGGACGGGUGAGUAACACGUGAAUAACCUACCUAUAAGACUGAGAUAACUUCGAGAAACCGGAGCUAAUACCGGAUAAUCUUUUGAACCGCAUGGUGCAAAAGUGAAAGACGGUCUUGCUGUCACUUAUAGAUGGAUCCGCGCUGCAUUAGCUAGUUGUUAAGGGAACGGCUUACCAAGGCAACGAUGCAUAGCCGACCUGAGAGUGUGAUCGGCGACACUGGAACUGAGACACGGUCCAGACCCCGACGGGAGGCAGCAGUAGGGAAUCUUCCGCAAUGGGAGAAAGCCGGACGCAGCAACGCCGCGUGAGUGAUGAAGGUCUUCGGAUCGUAAUACUCUGUUACUAGGGAAGAACAGAUGUGUACGUAACUGUGCACAUCGUGACGGUACCUAAACAGAAAGCCCCGGCUAACUACGUG